AGGACGGGUGAGUAACGCGUGAGAAUCUGCCAUCAGGUCUGGGACAACCACUGGAAACGGUGGCUAAUACCGGAUGUGCCCGUAAUUGGGUGAAAGGUUAACUGCCUGUUGAUGAGCUCGCGUCUGAUUAGCUAGUUGGAAGUGUAAUGGACUCCCAAGGCGACGAUCAGUAGCUGGUCUGAGAGGACGAUCAGCCACACUGGGACUGAGACACGGCCCAGACUCCUACGGGAGGCAGCAGUGGGGAAUUUUCCGCAAUGGGCGAAAGCCUGACGGAGCAAUACCGCGUGAGGGAGGAAGGCUCUUGGGUCGUAAACCUCUUUUCUCAGGGAAGAACACAAUGACGGUACCUGAGGAAUAAGCAUCGGCUAACUCCGUGCCAGCAGCCGCGGUAAUACGGAGGAUGCAAGCGUUAUCCGGAAUGAUUGGGCGUAAAGCGUCCGCAGGUGGCAAUGUAAGUCUGCUGUUAAAGAGUCUAGCUCAACUAGAUAAGAGCAGUGGAAACUACAUAGCUAGAGUACGUUCGGGGCAGAGGGAAUUCCUGGUGUAGCGGUGAAAUGCGUAGAGAUCAGGAAGAACACCAGUGGCGAAGGCGCUCUGCUAGGCCGUAACUGACACUGAGGGACGAAAGCUAGGGGAGCGAAUGGGAUUAGAUACCCCAGUAGUC
RNAcentral lists this ribosomal RNA (667 nucleotides) under uncultured cyanobacterium. RNAcentral's name for it is "bacterial SSU rRNA". It matches the Rfam family "Bacterial small subunit ribosomal RNA", at positions 99 to 795 of the family's 1533-position model. The record is from RNAcentral. Lineage: Bacteria; Bacillati; Cyanobacteriota.